This 846-nucleotide ribosomal RNA is filed under the name Sordariomycetes sp. RNAcentral's name for it is "eukaryotic LSU rRNA". The stretch from base 319 to 846 matches the Rfam family "Eukaryotic large subunit ribosomal RNA", at positions 1 to 539 of the family's 3401-position model. The record is from RNAcentral. Lineage: Eukaryota; Fungi; Ascomycota; Sordariomycetes.
UCUCUUGGUUCUGGCAUCGAUGAAGAACGCAGCGAAAUGCGAUAAGUAAUGUGAAUUGCAGAAUUCAGUGAAUCAUCGAAUCUUUGAACGCACAUUGCGCCCAUUAGUACUCUAGUGGGCAUGCCUGUUCGAGCGUCAUUACGACCCUUAAGCCUAGCUUAGUAUUGGGAACCUACGUGCGGCAGCUACCCUGUAGCUACCCUGUAGCUCCUUAAAGACAACGGCGGAGACGUGGAGUCCUCUGAGCUUAGUAAACUUUUUCUAGCUUCUGAAGGCGCCGCGGCCCCUGCCGUAAAACCCCCCCAACUCUUUAGUGGUUGACCUCGGAUCAGGUAGGAAUACCCGCUGAACUUAAGCAUAUCAAUAAGCGGAGGAAAAGAAACCAACAGGGAUUGCCUUAGUAACGGCGAGUGAAGCGGCAACAGCUCAAAUUUGAAAGCUGGCCUUCGGGUCCGCGUUGUAAUUUGUAGAGGAUGCUUUUGGUUAGGUGCCUUACGAGUUCCCUGGAACGGGACGCCUUAGAGGGUGAGAGCCCCGUACGUUUGGUUACCGAGCCUCUGUAAAGCUCCUUCGACGAGUCGAGUAGUUUGGGAAUGCUGCUCUAAAUGGGAGGUAAAUUUCUUCUAAAGCUAAAUACCGGCCAGAGACCGAUAGCGCACAAGUAGAGUGAUCGAAAGAUGAAAAGCACUUUGAAAAGAGGGUUAAAUAGCACGUGAAAUUGUUGAAAGGGAAGCGUUUAUGACCAGACUUUUUCCUGGCGGAUCAUCCGGUGUUCUCACCGGUGCACUUCGCCAGGUUUAGGCCAGCAUCGGUUUUCGCCGGGGGAUAAAAGCAGUGGUAAUGUGG